RNAcentral lists this ribosomal RNA (479 nucleotides) under uncultured bacterium. RNAcentral describes it as "partial 16S ribosomal RNA". It matches the Rfam family "Bacterial small subunit ribosomal RNA", at positions 28 to 507 of the family's 1533-position model. The record is from RNAcentral.
GAUGAACGCUAGCGGGAGGCCUAACACAUGCAAGCCGAGCGGUAUUUGUUCUUCGGAACAGAGAGAGCGGCGCACGGGUGCGGAACACGUGUGCAACCUGCCUUUAUCUGGGGGAUAGCCUUUCGAAAGGAAGAUUAAUACCCCAUAAUAUAUUGAGUGGCAUCAUUUGAUAUUGAAAACUCCGGUGGAUAGAGAUGGGCACGCGCAAGAUUAGAUAGUUGGUGAGGUAACGGCUCACCAAGUCAAUGAUCUUUAGGGGGCCUGAGAGGGUGAUCCCCCACACUGGUACUGAGACACGGACCAGGCUCCUACGGGAGGCAGCAGUGAGGAAUAUUGGACAAUGGGUUAGCGCCUGAUCCAGCCAUCCCGCGUGAAGGACGACGGCCCUAUGGGUUGUAAACUUCUUUUGUAUAGGGAUAAACCUACUCUCGUGAGAGUAGCUGAAGGUACUAUACGAAUAAGCACCGGCUAACUCCGUG